Molecule: ribosomal RNA, 254 nt
Filed under: uncultured bacterium
Lineage: Bacteria
Description: partial 16S ribosomal RNA
Rfam family: Bacterial small subunit ribosomal RNA
Source: RNAcentral
GACGAACCGUGCGAACGUUAUUCGGAAUCACUGGGCUUAAAGCGCGUGUAGGCGGCUUUGUACGUCCGUCGCUGAAAGCCCCCGGCUCAACCGGGGAAGUGGCGUGGAUACGGCAAGGCUUGAGGGACGUAGGGGGGGCUGGAACUUCCGGUGGAGCGGUGAAAUGCGUUGAGAUCGGAAGGAACGCCCGUGGCGAAAGCGAGCCCCUGGACGUCAACUGACGCUGAGACGCGAAAGCUAGGGGAGCGAACGGG